AGAGGUCAUUUUUUAGACCUAGG
This 23-nucleotide non-coding RNA is filed under the name Arabidopsis thaliana (thale cress). The record is from RNAcentral. Lineage: Eukaryota; Viridiplantae; Streptophyta; Magnoliopsida; Brassicales; Brassicaceae.